This 712-nucleotide long non-coding RNA is filed under the name Equus caballus (horse). Its description in RNAcentral is "lncRNA (ENSECAG00000030526.3)". Lineage: Eukaryota; Metazoa; Chordata; Mammalia; Perissodactyla; Equidae. The record is from RNAcentral.
GGCCCCGCCCUCAGAGCUCACACCCGCCGUGCGCUCUCGCCCCGGGGCCGCCCCGCCGACCUCCCGCGCGGCUCUGCGCGCACAGGCCGGACGCUCGGAGCCGGCGCCGGGCCGCCCUGCUCGGCCUCCUGGGCGCAGCGGCGCCUCUGGACCGAGCACGCGCACCAGCGGCCUCCGCUCAGGCUCCGUGCCCGCGCACGCGCCCUCGCGUCGCGCUCCUGGCUGAGAGACCUGCGCUCGGGCUGGGCUCCGGGCGGUUCUCGCGUUGUCGUUCCACCGGGACUUCCGCGCUUCGGUGGCCUUUCGGACGAGCCGCCGCGCCCAGAGAUGUUCAGGUUGGAGCGACACUUCCCAGACGGCAGCGGUCACGCCAGCUCUUUGGCUUCCAUUCCGUUUUCGCGCGGUUCUCCCUCUUCGCAAGCUGCUUGGCUGCAAGAGGGAAGUAGGACAUUGAGCCCUAAAGGGAGAUUUCCAGCCAGGGGGCACCGAGUGAUGUCAUUCUGACUGCAGUCACCACUGUCGGGUUGUGAUUAAACUCUGAUGACCUAUGAGAGCACCGUGAUGCUCUAGAUUCCCUUUGUUCUUUCCCAGUAGAGGAAUCCCAAGGAGGACUGAUCAGUUUUGGCAGGUGCAAAACCAUGCUGAAAAAUGGUGUAGGCCCAUGCUUUGGAACUGAGCCCAGGCUGCUUAGGUGGAAAAUGCUGAACUUAAC